RNAcentral lists this ribosomal RNA (462 nucleotides) under Vreelandella stevensii. RNAcentral describes it as "partial 16S ribosomal RNA". It matches the Rfam family "Bacterial small subunit ribosomal RNA", at positions 339 to 792 of the family's 1533-position model. Lineage: Bacteria; Pseudomonadati; Pseudomonadota; Gammaproteobacteria; Oceanospirillales; Halomonadaceae. The record is from RNAcentral.
CUACGGGUGGCAGCAGUGGGGAAUAUUGGACAAUGGGCGAAAGCCUGAUCCAGCCAUGCCGCGUGUGUGAAGAAGGCCUUCGGGUUGUAAAGCACUUUCAGUGGGGAAGAAAGCCUUGGGGCUAAUACCCUCGAGGAAGGACAUCACCCACAGAAGAAGCACCGGCUAACUCCGUGCCAGCAGCCGCGGUAAUACGGAGGGUGCGAGCGUUAAUCGGAAUUACUGGGCGUAAAGCGCGCGUAGGCGGUCUGAUAAGCCGGUUGUGAAAGCCCCGGGCUCAACCUGGGAACGGCAUCCGGAACUGUCAGGCUAGAGUGCAGGAGAGGAAGGUAGAAUUCCCGGUGUAGCGGUGAAAUGCGUAGAGAUCGGGAGGAAUACCAGUGGCGAAGGCGGCCUUCUGGACUGACACUGACGCUGAGGUGCGAAAGCGUGGGUAGCAAACAGGAUUAGAUACCCUAGAUC